Molecule: long non-coding RNA, 365 nt
Organism: Phascolarctos cinereus (koala)
Lineage: Eukaryota; Metazoa; Chordata; Mammalia; Diprotodontia; Phascolarctidae
Source: RefSeq, a predicted model, not a curated record
ACAUAGAAGAUACUUAAUAAAUGUUAAUUGAAAUCCGUUAAAAAAAAUGUUCCAUGCAGCAGUAUAAUGGAAAGACCACCAGGGAGUAAGAUCUGGGCUCAAGUCCUGUUUGUUCCUUCCUACAUGUUGGCUGUGUGACCCCUGUUGUGUGAGGCUGGAUUUUUUUCUUAUACUUCAAUCAAAACAACACAUCCCAACAAAAUGAAUGCAGAAACAGAUAUGAGAAUCCAGCUGCCUUCUUUUAAGCCAGACAUUGAAGAUACCUGCCAAAAUAUGUAAAAAAUAAUGCCAUUCUUCUCACUACAUUGUUUUUGUCUUGGAAAAUGUAGUUAUUUUUUCACAAAUAUAUGGUAUUUGUGUUGUAA